Molecule: ribosomal RNA, 391 nt
Filed under: Triparma sp.
Lineage: Eukaryota; Bolidophyceae; Parmales; Triparmaceae
Description: partial small subunit ribosomal RNA
Rfam family: Eukaryotic small subunit ribosomal RNA
Source: RNAcentral
AUUCCAGCUCCAAUAGCGUAUAUUAAAGUUGUUGCAGUUAAAAAGCUCGUAGUUGGAUUUCUGGUGAGUUCGUUUGGCCGGUCGUAAAGGUCUGUGCCGAAAUGUUAUUCGCCAUCCUUGGUGUAAUCUUGUCCGCCAUUAAGUUGUGUGGGCUUGAGGAUGCCAUCGUUUACUGUGAAAAAAUUAGAGUGUUCAAAGCAGGCUUAUGCCGUUGAAUACAUUAGCAUGGAAUAAUAAGAUAGGACCCUGGUACUAUUUUGUUGGUUUGCGUACCUAGGUAAUGAUUAAUAGGGACAGUUGGGGGUAUUUGUAUUCCGUUGUCAGAGGUGAAAUUCUUGGAUUUACGGAAGACAAACUACUGCGAAAGCAUUUACCAAGGAUGUUUUCAUCA